RNAcentral lists this ribosomal RNA (253 nucleotides) under uncultured bacterium. Its description in RNAcentral is "partial 16S ribosomal RNA". It matches the Rfam family "Bacterial small subunit ribosomal RNA", at positions 524 to 776 of the family's 1533-position model. The record is from RNAcentral.
GACGUAGGGGGCGAGCGUUAUUCGGAAUUAUUGGGCGUAAAGAGCGUGUAGGCGGCCUGAAAGGUCAGCUGUGAAAACUCGAGGCUCAACCUCGAGACGUCGGUUGAAACCAUCUGGCUAGAGUCCGGAAGAGGAGUGUGGAAUUCCCGGUGUAGCGGUGAAAUGCGCAGAUAUCGGGAAGAACACCCGUGGCUAAGGCGGCUCUCUAGUACGGUACUGACGCUGAGACGCGAAAGCGUGGGGAGCGAACAGG